RNAcentral lists this ribosomal RNA (478 nucleotides) under uncultured fungus. RNAcentral's name for it is "partial 5.8S ribosomal RNA". Lineage: Eukaryota; Fungi. The record is from RNAcentral.
UCCUCCGCUUAUUGAUAUGCUUAAGUUCAGCGGGUAUCCCUACCUGAUCCNAGGUCAAUCACUAGAAAGGGGGUUGUACAGCAGGAACGACUCUGGAUACAAAGCGAACGUUUAUUACUACGCCGGGUACCAGUGACCUUCCGCCAUUGAAUUUCGGAGGGGAGACUGCCGGGCAGUCUCUUCCUCCAUGACCAAGCAAAAGAGCUUGAGUUGAUUUUAAUGACGCUCGAACAGGCAUGCCUCCCGGAAUACCAGGAGGCGCAAUGUGCGUUCAAAGAUUCGAUGAUUCACUGAAUUCUGCAAUUCACACUACUUAUCGCAUUUCGCUGCGUUCUUCAUCGAUGCGAGAACCAAGAGAUCCGUUGUUGAAAGUUGUAAUUAUUAAUUUGUUACUGACGCUGAUUGCAAUUACAAAAGGUUUAUGUUUGUCCUAGUGGUGGGCGAACCCACCAAGGAAACAAGAAGUACGCAAAAGACA